GGGCCGGUAGCUCAGCUGGUAGAGCAUCGCUAUGGCAUAGCGGGGGUCGUGGGUUCAAGUCCCAUCCGGUCCA
Molecule: transfer RNA, 73 nt
Filed under: Candidatus Wolfebacteria bacterium GWA1_42_9
Lineage: Bacteria; Candidatus Wolfeibacteriota
Description: tRNA-Ala
Rfam family: tRNA
About the family: Transfer RNA (tRNA) molecules are approximately 80 nucleotides in length. Their secondary structure includes four short double-helical elements and three loops (D, anti-codon, and T loops).
Source: RNAcentral